GCUCAGUUGGUUAAGCAGUUAAGUGUCUGACUUUGGAUCAGGUCAUGAUCUCACGGAUCAUGGGUUCGAGCCCCGUGUCGAGCU
This 84-nucleotide transfer RNA is filed under the name Felis catus (domestic cat). It matches the Rfam family "tRNA". From Rfam's summary of the family: Transfer RNA (tRNA) molecules are approximately 80 nucleotides in length. Their secondary structure includes four short double-helical elements and three loops (D, anti-codon, and T loops). The record is from Rfam by way of RNAcentral. Lineage: Eukaryota; Metazoa; Chordata; Mammalia; Carnivora; Felidae.